AAAGACGGUUUCCUCUUCGGAGGCACCUGCACAGGUGCUGCAUGGCCGUCGUCAGCUCGUGUCGUGAGAUGUUGGGUUAAGUCCCGCAACGAGCGCAACCCUUAUCCCCAGUUGCCAUCAGGUAAAGCUGGGAACUCUGGGGAGACUGCCGGUGAUAAACCGGAGGAAGUGGGGAUGACGUCAAAUCAUCAUGCCCCUUAUGACCUGGGCUACACACGUGCUACAAUGGUUGGUACAACGAGUUGCGAGUCGGUGACGGCGAGCUAAUCUCUUAAAGCCAAUCUCAGUUCGGAUUGUAGGCUGCAACUCGCCUACAUGAAGUCGGAAUCGCUAGUAAUCGCGGAUCAGCACGCCGCGGUGAAUACGUUCCCGGGCCUU
RNAcentral lists this ribosomal RNA (378 nucleotides) under uncultured Streptococcus sp. RNAcentral describes it as "bacterial SSU rRNA". It matches the Rfam family "Bacterial small subunit ribosomal RNA", at positions 1004 to 1382 of the family's 1533-position model. Lineage: Bacteria; Bacillati; Bacillota; Bacilli; Lactobacillales; Streptococcaceae. The record is from RNAcentral.